CAGCACCUCAAGUGGUCAGGAUGAUUAUUGGGCCUAAAGCAUCCGUAGCCGGCGCUGUAAGUUUUCGGUUAAAUCUGUACGCUCAACGUACAGGCUGCCGGGAAUACUGCAGCGCUAGGGAGUGGGAGAGGUAGACGGUACUCGGUAGGAAGGGGUAAAAUCCUUUGAUCUAUUGAUGACCACCUGUGGCGAAGGCGGUCUACCAGAACACGUCCGACGGUGAGGGAUGAAAGCUGGGGGGAGCAAACCGGAUUAGAUACCCGAGUAGUCC
Molecule: ribosomal RNA, 271 nt
Filed under: uncultured archaeon
Lineage: Archaea
Description: partial 16S ribosomal RNA
Rfam family: Archaeal small subunit ribosomal RNA
Source: RNAcentral